AAGUCGUAACAAGGUUUCCGUAGGUGAACCUGCGGAAGGAUCAUUAAUGAAAUGAUUUUUUGGGGUUAUCCCUGAAAAAUAAUUCACCUUUUGUGCACUGUUAUAAGAUAUACUUUGGUUAGAGCUUUGGUUCCAAAAACAAUUGGCACCAACUUCUCGCUAACUCUAUCCUUUCUGAGGACAGUUGGCUAUGAAGCGGCCUACCAAGGUUUUUUAUCAAACUCUUGUAUUUUGUCUGACCUAAACUAUUAUAAUUAAAUCAUAACUUUCAACAACGGAUCUCUUGGCUCUC
This 292-nucleotide unclassified non-coding RNA is filed under the name fungal sp. RNAcentral describes it as "partial internal transcribed spacer region". The stretch from base 1 to 46 matches the Rfam family "Eukaryotic small subunit ribosomal RNA", at positions 1786 to 1831 of the family's 1831-position model. Lineage: Eukaryota; Fungi. The record is from RNAcentral.